GAGAGGUGCUGCAUGGCUGUCGUCAGCUCGUGUUGUGAAAUGUUGGGUUAAGUCUCGCAACGAGCGCAACCCCUAUCGUCUGUUGCCAGCAUUAAGUUGGGCACUCUGACGAGACUGCCUGGGUUAACCAGGAGGAAGGUGGGGAUGACGUCAAGUCCUCAUGGCCCUUAUGUCUAGGGCUACACACGUAAUACAAUGGCGCGUACAAUGGGAAGCGAACUCGCAAGGGGGAGCAAAUCUCAAAAAGCGCGUCUCAGUUCGGAUUGAAGUCUGCAACUCGACUUCAUGAAGUUGGAAUCGCUAGUA
Molecule: ribosomal RNA, 306 nt
Filed under: uncultured Peredibacter sp.
Lineage: Bacteria; Pseudomonadati; Bdellovibrionota; Bacteriovoracia; Bacteriovoracales; Bacteriovoracaceae
Description: bacterial SSU rRNA
Rfam family: Bacterial small subunit ribosomal RNA
Source: RNAcentral